This 309-nucleotide ribosomal RNA is filed under the name uncultured bacterium. RNAcentral describes it as "partial 16S ribosomal RNA". It matches the Rfam family "Bacterial small subunit ribosomal RNA", at positions 504 to 807 of the family's 1533-position model. The record is from RNAcentral.
AGAGACAGCAGUAGCCACGGUAAAACGGAGGGUGCAAGCGUUAUCCGGAUUUAUUGGGUUUAAAGGGUCCGUAGGCGGAUCUGUAAGUCAGUGGUGAAAUCUCACAGCUUAACUGUGAAACUGCCAUUGAUACUGCAGGUCUUGAGUAAAUUUGAAGUGGCUGGAAUAAGUAGUGUAGCGGUGAAAUGCAUAGAUAUUACUUAGAACACCAAUUGCGAAGGCAGGUCACUAAGAUUUAACUGACGCUGAUGGACGAAAGCGUGGGGAGCGAACAGGAUUAGAUACCCCCGUAGUCCCUGUCUCUUAUAC